CUUUGCCUACGGGACGCAGCAGUGGGGAAUAUUGCACAAUGGGGGAAACCCUGAUGCAGCGACGCCGCGUGAGCGAUGAAGUAUUUCGGUAUGUAAAGCUCUAUCAGCAGGGAAGAAAAUGACGGUACCUGACUAAGAAGCCCCGGCUAACUACGUGCCAGCAGCCGCGGUAAUACGUAGGGGGCAAGCGUUGUCCGGAUUUACUGGGUGUAAAGGGAGCGUAGACGGCCAUUCAAGCCAGAUGUGAAAGCCCGGGGCUCAACCCCGGGACUGCAUUUGGAACUGCGUGGCUAGAGUGUCGGAGG
Molecule: ribosomal RNA, 305 nt
Filed under: uncultured bacterium
Lineage: Bacteria
Description: bacterial SSU rRNA
Rfam family: Bacterial small subunit ribosomal RNA
Source: RNAcentral